GACGAACCGUGCGAACGUUGUUCGGAAUCACUGGGCUUAAAGGGCGCGUAGGCGGGCUCGCAAGUCCGGGGUGAAAGCCCCCAGCUCAACUGGGGAAGUGCCUUGGAUACUGCGGGCCUCGAGGGAGGUAGGGGCGUGCGGAACUUCCGGUGGAGCGGUGAAAUGCGUAGAUAUCGGAAGGAACACCGGUGGCGAAGGCGGCUUCCUGGACACUAACUGACGCUGAGACGCGAAAGCGUGGGGAGCAAACAGG
This 253-nucleotide ribosomal RNA is filed under the name uncultured bacterium. RNAcentral describes it as "partial 16S ribosomal RNA". It matches the Rfam family "Bacterial small subunit ribosomal RNA", at positions 524 to 776 of the family's 1533-position model. The record is from RNAcentral.